Molecule: ribosomal RNA, 372 nt
Filed under: uncultured organism
Description: bacterial SSU rRNA
Rfam family: Bacterial small subunit ribosomal RNA
Source: RNAcentral
CGUAGGGGGCUAGCGUUGUCCGGAUUUAUUGGGCGUAAAGAGCGUGUAGGCGGCCAGGUAAGUCUGGUGUGAAAACUCGAGGCUUAACCUCGAGAUGUCAUCGGAAACUAUCUGGCUAGAGUCCGGAAGAGGAAAGUGGAAUUCCUGGUGUAGCGGUGAAAUGCGCAGAUAUCAGGAAGAACACCAAUGGCGAAGGCAGCUUUCUGGGACGGUACUGACGCUGAGACGCGAAAGCGUGGGGAGCGAACAGGAUUAGAUACCCUGGUAGUCCACGCCGUAAACGAUGGGCGCUAGGUGUGGGCGGUGUCGACUCCGUCCGUGCCGAAGCUAACGCAUUAAGCGCCCCGCCUGGGGAGUACGGCCGCAAGGCUA